UUGUUUAUAUGAGAGAAACUUAACAUAUCCCCUGACAAGGAUGGAAGAGACUAUUGGGCCUUACAUCAUAUGUGAGGCAUUUCUACUUAUCUGUGGCAGCUAACUACUGUUUUU
This 114-nucleotide non-coding RNA is filed under the name Meriones unguiculatus (Mongolian gerbil). The record is from RNAcentral. Lineage: Eukaryota; Metazoa; Chordata; Mammalia; Rodentia; Muridae.